AAACCCAGAUGAACUUUUUGGC
This 22-nucleotide microRNA is filed under the name Bos taurus (domestic cattle). Its description in RNAcentral is "Bta-Mir-2285-P5_3p* (star (passenger))". Lineage: Eukaryota; Metazoa; Chordata; Mammalia; Artiodactyla; Bovidae. The record is from RNAcentral.